UACGUAGGGGGCAAGCGUUGUCCGGAUUCAUUGGGCGUAAAGAGCGUGUAGGCGGCCAGAUAGGUCAGCUGUGAAAACUCGAGGCUCAACCUCGAGACGUCGGUUGAAACCACUUGGCUAGAGUCCGGAAGAGGAGAGCGGAAUUCCCGGUGUAGCGGUGAAAUGCGCAGAUAUCGGGAAGAACACCCGUGGCGAAGGCGGCUCUCUGGGACGGUACUGACGCUGAGACGCGAAAGCGUGGGGAG
This 245-nucleotide ribosomal RNA is filed under the name uncultured Rubrobacter sp. Its description in RNAcentral is "partial 16S ribosomal RNA". It matches the Rfam family "Bacterial small subunit ribosomal RNA", at positions 524 to 768 of the family's 1533-position model. Lineage: Bacteria; Bacillati; Actinomycetota; Rubrobacteria; Rubrobacterales; Rubrobacteraceae. The record is from RNAcentral.